RNAcentral lists this ribosomal RNA (432 nucleotides) under uncultured bacterium. Its description in RNAcentral is "partial 16S ribosomal RNA". It matches the Rfam family "Bacterial small subunit ribosomal RNA", at positions 29 to 506 of the family's 1533-position model. The record is from RNAcentral.
AACGAACGCUGGCGGCAUGCCUAACACAUGCAAGUCGAACGAGACCUUCGGGUCUAGUGGCGCACGGGUGCGUAACGCGUGGGAACCUGCCCUUAGGUUCGGAAUAACUCCCCGAAAGGGGUGCUAAUACCGGAUAAUGUCUUCGGACCAAAGAUUUAUCGCCUUUGGAUGGGCCCGCGUUGGAUUAGCUAGUUGGUAGGGUAAAAGCCUACCAAGGCGACGAUCCAUAGCUGGUCUGAGAGGAUGAUCAGCCACACUGGGACUGAGACACGGCCCAGACUCCUACGGGAGGCAGCAGUGGGGAAUAUUGGACAAUGGGCGAAAGCCUGAUCCAGCAAUGCCGCGUGAGUGAUGAAGGCCUUAGGGCUGUAAAGCUCUUUUACCCGGGAUGAUAAUGACAGUACCGGGAGAAUAAGCUCCGGCUAACUCCGU